This 253-nucleotide ribosomal RNA is filed under the name uncultured bacterium. Its description in RNAcentral is "partial 16S ribosomal RNA". It matches the Rfam family "Bacterial small subunit ribosomal RNA", at positions 524 to 776 of the family's 1533-position model. The record is from RNAcentral.
UACGGAGGGUGCAAACGUUGCUCGGAAUCAUUGGGCGUAAAGCGCACGUAGGCGGUGCAGUAAGUCGGAUGUGAAAGCCCUCGGCUCAACCGAGGAAGUGCAUUCGAAACUGCUGUGCUUGAGUACGGAAGAGGGUCUCGGAAUUCCCGGUGUAGAGGUGAAAUUCGUAGAUAUCGGGAGGAACACCAGUGGCGAAGGCGGAGACCUGGGCCGAUACUGACGCUGAGGUGCGAAAGCGUGGGGAGCAAACAGG